RNAcentral lists this ribosomal RNA (402 nucleotides) under Ptychadena cooperi (dark-bellied grass frog). RNAcentral's name for it is "partial 12S ribosomal RNA". It matches the Rfam family "Bacterial small subunit ribosomal RNA", at positions 773 to 1395 of the family's 1533-position model. The record is from RNAcentral. Lineage: Eukaryota; Metazoa; Chordata; Amphibia; Anura; Ptychadenidae.
UGGGAUUAGAUACCCCACUAUGCUUAGCCGUAAAAAAAUUUACUAAAUAAACGCCAGGAUAUUACAAGCCAUGCUUUAAAUCCAAAGGACUUGACGGUGUCCCAUCCCCCUAGAGGAGCCUGUCCUACAAUCGAUUAUACCCGCUAGACCUAACCAUUUCUUGCUAUCAGCCUGUAUACUUCCGUCGUAAGUUUACCAUAUGAAAGAUCAGUGGGCCUAAUGUUUCAUUAACCAAUACGUCAGGUCAAGGUGCAGCCUAUGAAAUGGGAGUGAUGGGCUACAAUUUCUAAACUAGAACACACGAAAACCUGCAUGAAAACUCAGAAAUGAAGGUGGAUUUAGUAGUAAAAAGAAAAUAGAGCGUUCUUUUUAAUAAGGUGCUGGGACAAGUACACACCGCCC